This 253-nucleotide ribosomal RNA is filed under the name uncultured bacterium. Its description in RNAcentral is "partial 16S ribosomal RNA". It matches the Rfam family "Bacterial small subunit ribosomal RNA", at positions 524 to 776 of the family's 1533-position model. The record is from RNAcentral.
UACGUAGGGUGCAAGCGUUGUCCGGAAUUAUUGGGCGUAAAGAGCUCGUAGGCGGCUUGUCACGUCGACUGUGAAAACCCGAGGCUCAACCUCGGGCCUGCAGUGGGUACGGGCAGACUAGAGUGCGGUAGGGGAGAUUGGAAUUCCUGGUGUAGCGGUGGAAUGCGCAGAUAUCAGGAGGAACACCAAUGGCGAAGGCAGAUCUCUGGGCCGUAACUGACGCUGAGGAGCGAAAGCAUGGGGAGCGAACAGG